This 301-nucleotide ribosomal RNA is filed under the name uncultured bacterium. RNAcentral's name for it is "partial 16S ribosomal RNA". It matches the Rfam family "Bacterial small subunit ribosomal RNA", at positions 509 to 808 of the family's 1533-position model. The record is from RNAcentral.
CAGCAGCCACGGUAAUACAGAGGGUGCAAGCGUUAAUCGGAUUUACUGGGCGUAAAGGGCGCGUAGGUGGUUAUGUAAGUGAGAUGUGAAAUCCCCGGGCUCAACCUGGGAACUGCAUCUUAUACUGCGUAGCUGGAGUGCAGUAGAGGGUAGUGGAAUUUCCGGUGUAGCGGUGAAAUGCGUAGAUAUCGGAAGGAGCACCAGUGGCGAGGGCGGCUACCUGGACUGACACUGACACUGAGGCGCGAAAGCGUGGGGAGCAAACAGGAUUAGAGACCCUGUAGUCCCUGUCUCUUAUACA